Molecule: ribosomal RNA, 485 nt
Filed under: uncultured bacterium
Lineage: Bacteria
Description: bacterial SSU rRNA
Rfam family: Bacterial small subunit ribosomal RNA
Source: RNAcentral
AACCGAGAACUCCUACGGGAGGCAGCAGUGGGGAAUUUUGGACAAUGGGGGCAACCCUGAUCCUGCAAUGCCGCGUGAGUGAAGAAGGCCUUCGGGUUGUAAAGCUCUUUUGUCAGGGAAGAAACGGUAGUAGCUAAUAUCUAUUACUAAUGACGGUACCUGAAGAAUAAGCACCGGCUAACUACGUGCCAGCAGCCGCGGUAAUACGUAGGGUGCAAGCGUUAAUCGGAAUUACUGGGCGUAAAGCGUGCGCAGGCGGUUGUGUAAGUCAGAUGUGAAAUCCCCGGGCUCAACCUGGGAAUUGCAUUGGAGACUGCACGGCUAGAGUGUGUCAGAGGGGGGUAGAAUUCCACGUGUAGCAGUGAAAUGCGUAGAUAUGUGGAGGAAUACCGAUGGCGAAGGCAGCCCCCUGGGAUUACACUGACGCGCAUGCACGAAAGCGUGGGGAGCAAACAGGAUUAGAACCCCUAGUAGUCCGACUGAGA